GAUGAACGCUGGCGGCGUGCCUAAUACAUGCAAGUCGAGCGAACAGAUGAGAGGCUUGCUUCUCUGAUGUUAGCGGCGGACGGGGGAGUAACACGUGGGCAACCUGCCCUGCAGAUCGGGAUAACUCCGGGAAACCGGUGCUAAUACCGAAUAGUUUUCGCCACCUCCUGGUGGCGUACGGAAAGACGGUUUCGGCUUUCACUGCAGGAUGGGCCCGCGGCGCAUGCGCUAGUUGGUGGGGUAACGGCCCACCAAGGCAACCAUGCGUAGCCGACGUGUGAGGGUGAUCGGCCACACUGGGACUGAGACACGGCACAGACUCCUACGGGAGGCAGCAGUAGGGAAUCUUCCGCAAUGGACGGAAGUCUGACGGAGCAACGCCGCGUGAGUGACGAAGGUUUUCGGAUCGUAACACUUUGUUGUGAGGGAAGAACAAGUACCAACUAACUACUGGUACCUUGACGGUACCUCACCAGAAAGCCACGGCUAACUACGUGCCAGCCGCCGCCGUAA
This 513-nucleotide ribosomal RNA is filed under the name uncultured bacterium. Its description in RNAcentral is "partial 16S ribosomal RNA". It matches the Rfam family "Bacterial small subunit ribosomal RNA", at positions 28 to 523 of the family's 1533-position model. The record is from RNAcentral.